Long non-coding RNA from Cygnus atratus (black swan), 2321 nucleotides. RefSeq lists it as uncharacterized. Lineage: Eukaryota; Metazoa; Chordata; Aves; Anseriformes; Anatidae. The transcript is spliced from 6 exons. The record is from RefSeq and is a predicted model, not a curated record.
AGUGAGAUGGUUCCUCCACCUAUGUCAGAUCCAAAGCUUCCUGAAGUCCCCAGAGAGAUUAUUACUGACAACGUUGACCUUUGAGUCGGUGCCUUGCCCCUAGUUUUCCAAAAUGAGGUAUUGAAGAUGAUAUACAGCCAUAAUCUUAGAUUAUGAUGAAGCUGCACCUAAACUUCUGCCAGUAUCGCUUGCUGCACUCAUCCAGCUGCGGAGAGACUGCUGGAAGGAAAGACCAUGUCCAGGGUCCCUCAUCCCCGUGCCAGGAUGCACAGGAGGGCUGCCAGGUAACCUUCUGACACCCUCAACCUCUGCUCAAAAACAGCUAAGUCAAACAAAGUACUCAGUGUUGUUGAAUAAACCUGUAUUACACAGAGUCUGCAUGUUGCCCAGAAGCAGUUAUCCAAGCUCUAUCUGCCAGAGAUGAAAAUGUUAAGGUUCUUUCUGGUCUGAGUCUGCAGCUGUGAAAAAAUGACAUCCAUACAGGUCCAAACAAGAGGGUUGCAGACUAAAUGAAGGACGUGGAGGUGCUCGAGAGAGUCCAGAGAAGGGCGACGAGGCUGGUGUGGGGUCUGGAGAACAAGUCUUACGAGGAGCGGCUGAGGGAGCUGGGGUUGUUUAGCCUGGAGAAGAGGAGGCUCAGGGGAGACCUCAUCGCUCUCUAUAGUUGUGUAUCCUCCCCUGUCAUCAUGGAAAUCUGGACCGACUUCAACACAUACUUAUUUCAAAACCUACAAAUAAGGCAAUCAGAUACUGAUGUUCAGAGCAUUUACCUCCCUGUUUACCCAAAUUUUGUUGAAGAGCCCUUGAGAUAAGUAGGAGUGCUGCAGCCACAGGUGAAAUCUCUCCUUUCUUUAGCCACCUGUAGAUUACUGUGAUAUAUUCUUGUUUGAAACGGCAGCUGCCCAAAAGGAGGUGCUUGUGUGAAUGCUACCUUGAGGGGGGAGACAGUGCAAGGGAGGAUGAAAACUUCUCUGACAUUUUUCAGAAUACAGUUAUGCCCUGAGAAUCACUACUUUACUCCUGUUCCGCAACACAUAAAUACACAUCAGCUGUGUGGUAAACCAAAUUCUCUCAGGAGCUUGUCCUGAAAGAGGAAAAGACAUGAUGAUUUAAAGGCUACAUCUGCAGUUCUUGCAGCUGCUUCGGUUCCUGCUGCUGGAGGAAAAUUCCCUGCAUCAACAGCCUCUUGACGCAGGGGCUUGGAGCAGCUCCUGGGGCAAAAACCCAAGGGAGUCAAGCACUGUCACUAGUCUGUUGGACAGGAGAGGAGUGGGAAGCCACCAUGCAGCUCACAGGAACGCGGUCACUUCUUCUGUCAGAUGCCCCUUCUGGCAUUACCUUUCCUGCUGCGUUGCAAGUGGAAGAGGACUCCAACCCAUGUAACACUAGUUGCAUUCUCCAGAAUCUAUGGAAAAUAAGAUUAGACCAGGCAACUUCCUAAACAAAGUGAAGGUCAGCAUGGUGUGGUACUGGCUUGGCAUACCCUUGUAUUAAAACUCACAGGAGGAGCUGUUGAGGGCUGUGAAGCCUGCUGGAAUGUCUUCAGUUGUAGGAAACACGUGCAACAUUUCUAUAAGAAGGCAGCUGAAGAUGUGAGGAUGUUCUGGAAUGAAGGCUUGCACAACCUCUGUGUUUUGACGUUAUUCUCCUCGAUGAUUGACUGGGAAUGUAGCAGCUCCAGCUACCGCAGCAGUGCGGUGUGAUUCCUUCCAGCCUAUGUGUAAAAACCACCUUCGUACUAAACAUUGCUCCUCCUUAACAAGCUAGUAACACAUCUAUGAUUUCAGUAAUUAAAAUAAGUUUUUAUUGCUUUUUGCUUAUAUUAACACCCCAGAGCAAGCAGACAGACAAGUCAGGUAGGCCAGCAGUUACCGGGACUCUGGGAACAGGGCUUAGGCUCCCUGCUUCCUCUGCAGUGAGAAAAAGAGGCAGGACCAGAUGCUAAAUGUAUUAAAUGCCUUAAUCCUAUGGAAUUUGAUGGAAAUUGGUGCCUAAAUACUGUGGAGAUCUAUUUUAAUCUCUAUAUACCUUAGUUCUUCACCUGUCAUAUAAGGGUAAUAAUUAUACAGCGAAGUAUAACAACAAAUGCAAUAAGGAAAACAAAGUGCUCAGCUACUAUAAUCGCUAAAUGUAAAAAAAAAAAUAUCUAAGGAAGACAAUAUGCUUAUUUCUUUUUUAUGAAUCUUGUUUAUGUAGUACUAUCCAAUUUUAGAGAGGAGUGUUUACCUGCUUGUUGAUUAAUUUACAGUUGUGUUCCCCAGCUGCAAUCAGAGCACAGUUUCUCUUUCAGAAGUUUAUUAAAAGCAAGCAUCAAAGAGAAG